GAUGAACGCUGGCGGCGUGCUUAACACAUGCAAGUCGAACGAAGCACUUAAGAACGAUUCUUCGGAUGAAGUCAUAUGUGACUGAGUGGCGGACGGGUGAGUAACGCGUGGGUAACCUGCCUCACACAGGGGGAUAACAGUUGGAAACGACCGCUAAUACCGCAUAAGCCAACAGGGGCGCAUGCUCUGGUUGGAAAAGAUUUAUCGGUGUGAGAUGGACCCGCGUCUGAUUAGCCAGUUGGCAGGGUAACGGCCUACCAAAGCGACGAUCAGUAGCCGGCCUGAGAGGGUGAACGGCCACAUUGGGACUGAGACACGGCCCAA
This 324-nucleotide ribosomal RNA is filed under the name uncultured bacterium. Its description in RNAcentral is "bacterial SSU rRNA". It matches the Rfam family "Bacterial small subunit ribosomal RNA", at positions 28 to 334 of the family's 1533-position model. The record is from RNAcentral.